GUUGCAAGUGUUGCCGUGGUUCCUAUCUUUAUCCUCUGACUUUCCACCGUUUAUGCUACUUCGACGAAUCUUAUUUAACGUGCAGAGAACUCGGAUCUGAUCUGAACUGAACUUUAUACAAAUUAAGAUACAGAAAUCAAAUUGCUGACUAAGGAUGAGUUAGGAUGAUGUAAUGAUGAUGUAAUGGAGAAGGAAAGAUCUAGACUUGGGAAGAAAUCAGCAUGACAUAGAUGUGUGACAUGUGUACAAUGGUGAGGGAAUGUCCUGUGCUAGGUGAUGCCGUGAAUGACGUAAGUGGAUGUCAUGGUGAUGGAUUAUCGAUAAAGAAGCAGGAAUAUGGCCUAUUUCACAAUAUGAAAUCACUGCAAUGGAAAUUCCUAUGCAUAGUAGUUUCUGGACAUAGCCUGUCGAAUUUUUUAGUAAUUAAUGCUAAUUUGCUUAUCGCUUCUUUCCUGUUGCCAUUCUCUCAUUUUUCAAUUUUUGCUGGCAUUCUAUUUCUAGACUUUUGUUGAAUUUCAGCCUGUAUUUUGUCUUAUGUUGUUAUUAUUUUUCGGGAAAAUCUCAGUCUGAUGUUUCUUAUAAGGGUUGUUCUUUUAAAAAAAGGUGCUUUUAAUGAUCAAAGGAUUUGAGAGAAAACAUUUACAACGUUCACACUCUUUUUUAUAAGAACAUUUUUAUUAGAACACGAGCCUCAAAAUUGGUCAAAAGUGAAGAAAAAAUUAAGAGCAAGUUGAAGCUGAGCAACUGUGAAAUGCAAUUUUGAACAACGUUUUAUCUCAUGAACGAGGAUUUUAGCCAUGUUCGGGUGCUUUUUCGGUGAAUAUUCAAACUUGGCGGCAAAUUAAGGUUGUCGCGCCCACUCUGUUGACAAAUGAGGCCUGAACACCUCCCUAGAGCGAAAAAGCUAGCAAUCGCACUGCUUACACAAUAUUAAUUUAAAAACAAAUUAAGAACAAUAUAACCUUAGAUUUUUGAAUUAAUUAGGAACAGUCAGCCUGAACUUAAAUUUACUGGUUCUUAUAAAAAAGAGUGUAUUUUCGGUUGGCCAAUUAUAAGAGCAAAAAGAAGUAUCACCCUAUUGAAAAUUGAAUGAAAAAAUGCAACGAGGCAAUUUGGCCCAUACUGACUUAUACUGAGCUUUCUUUGUCAAGAAUAUUUAAGAAAAAAUUAUUCUUUUUGAUAGCUCGUUUUUAGGAACUUCUUUCUUGGUCUUUACAGAAUUCGUUAUAGUGGGAUUCUACUGUAGCUGUAAACUAAAAACUGACAUUCGCUGGACUACCCAAAAGCUUGCAGUGCACUGACUUUAUCAGGAUGUUGUGUUUCAUACAUUGUAGAGUGCAAAAUUGCAGGUAAGGAAAUCUCUUUGUUCUCGUCGGCCCCACGUGUUCAGGCUCAGAGAAAGAUGAGUCAUACAUUCAAACACAAUUAACAUAAUAUUCAGACGGGGCUUUGCAUAAUUAAUGAGGCGUAGCGAACUUGGAAAUAAGGGCAGUUUUAUAAGCAACAAUUAUCUAAAAAGAGAUUUGGAGGUGCACAUUUCAGUAAAAAAAAUUAAAAGCGGUGAUAAUUUGUAUGUUUUUAAAAUAUUUGACACCGAGAGGAUGAGAGAACUUAAAAAUCAUCAAGCGGGCAAGGUCGCCCACGCGCAACUCAUCCAGACUAAACACCCGUUCAACCAGCACGUGGUCGAGUUAGGAGAAAAUGCAUGUUGAUAUUUCAAAAAGCACGCUGUUUUGGCCGCUUUAAGGCCAACUAACAAACCAAAUUUUGCACAAAUAUUUCUACAGAAUAACUGCACCAAAACAUCUUAGACAAUUGAGAAAUGUAUGAAACAAAGACAACUUAAAAGCAAAACAUAAAGUGGAUAAAGACUAGAGGCUUUUGGAUAAAACUUUCUAGGCCAUGGACGGCGGCGUCAUCGACGAUCAAAGAAAUCUGCAUGCGAAAAUCCAUGAGAUAUCGAGCGCGCAGUAAUGUAAAAUGUAAAGCAAGUUCCCUCCAACAAGUCCGUAGUUCUACACUAUGAUUCUAUUCUUCAAUGCAUCUAGAGCAGAAUGUUUUGUUCCAAACCAGGCCUUAGGUGAACAAUUGCUAACAACAUUGGCAAAGCGAUGGUUCACCUAACAGGUACUCACAAAGAAUUGCAAACAUGUCACGAUUCUUUCUAUUAUAAGAACACAACCAAAAGAAUCGAUAUGCUUAUGCGGAAUUAUGCGGAGGAGAAUGUCUAGGGGGCGAAUUGAGUUUCUUUUACAGAAGUCGUUGAAAAGGGGGCAAAUAAAGUAACAUAUCAGAAAAGAAAAAAUGAAGUUAAUCACACCCCCCUUACCCUCUUUGACAAUCGGAAAUGGCAGAUUUCUUCCUCGUUCCGCAUUCAUGUCAACAUCAAUGAUUCGUACAACAUGACUGGACAAAUAUAUAAUUGCUACUUUUUGUUGAUUGUUGAGUUCAAGAGCAACAAAAACGCGUACGGAAGCUUCGCGCGGCGCGUUUAGUCAACCUCGUUCCGUUAAAUGCAAACCUUUUUCGGGGCUAGACCUAAAUACAGGAAAACUGUUUGCGGAUAAAGAUAACUUUUUUGGAACAGAUUGGGAGGGGAAGCGAGAGGUGCUGCUCAAUACUUGUCAAUUUUUCCAAUGUCUUACGAGGAAAAAGCCCCUUUUCCAGCCAUGGCAGCCAUGGCGUACUUUUGGUACAACUGCGUUAAACAGUUUUGUUCCUGCGUUGAAGCCAUUGUUUUGCUUCAGAUAUGUUUUGCUUGAGACAUUCUAAGAAGAGCAAGACAUUCACAUAAAUUUGAAGUUGUGAUUACUACAGAUGGACCAUUUCAAUAUUUUGGUGGAAAGGGAAAAGGGUUUUUUACCCUAGCUUUGAAAUACGCUGCUAUAACAGGUCAACAUCAGCAUAAUCACAAUCUAGUAUCUGAAUUUAGAUUACGACCUUACGGCCUCGUUUUGGAAACUAUGCCAAACUUGCAAACUUCACUGUACGAUACGACUCUCUUGAGCCAAAAUAAAGGAUUUCACGUCAUAAUUUUAGUCUAGAAACAAUCUUUUAUAUCGUUUGGGCAUCUGUUGGAGAUUCACGACGAUCUAAAGUUUGAAAAAGCUAGACUCAUGAAAAAUUGGAUAAAGACUUAGAUUCUGGCCCUCAGUCAGGACAUGAAUUGAAAAAUCUAAAAAUAGAGAAGUUUACAGUAAUUGUCAAAACGAGACCAGAGACGAAUAAAUUUCUAGACAAAACGUCCCAUUCGAAAACGAAAGGAUUUUCCCGUAACUUUCUACCAGAUGUGUCUUGGCCUGCCUCUAGCACGUAUAGUAGACAAUUAAAUUCACAACAGGAACAUGACGAUGCGGUUUUAUAUUUAGGAGGGAGUUUGUUUGCAAACUGAUAGUGAAAAUUUUGGAAGUACUUUUUCCAGAAUAUCAUUAAAAAAAGAGACACUAGGAAACAGAUAACGAAAAAAAGUUCCGGUGAGUAAAUACUUCAACUAACAUAAGUAAACACUUAGCAAAAUUUGUAUAAGAACUUAAGGAUAAGAGCCUUUGAAUUGCCUCGAUUGUCGAAAAUAUUCACUACGAAAAACAAAUGACACCUCGCAAUUAAAGGAUAAUGAAGAGUUGGGAAAAAUCACAAAUAAAAGAAUUCUCUCCAAUUUUUACUUUUUUGCCAACAAACAACAGAUUCUGCUAGCUUUGUGAUAACAGCAAUGGUAGUUUCAUGCAGUUGUAACGCUUGGGCCUAGGUUGAUGGGUCAAAGGCAAAUUUUGCUUGGCUUUACAGCCUCAAAACACAUGUUAGUAUCUAUUUAAGCGCAAGCAGGGUUGAAAUUAAGCAAAGCUAAAAAUCUGGAUUCAAGAGAAUGUACUUUUAUUAAGAUGUUUAAUUUUGUUUAAUAAUGAUGACAGUCUUGCAGAGGAUUAUUAGAUGAUUCUGUAGGGAUUCUUAGCGGAUAAUCAAUUGAUUUUGAAGCCAAGUUUCGUUUUAACAGGCUUGCUAAAAUCGAGAAAGUCCGUGGUGUCGACUUUUAAACGACAUGAAAUGACAUCGGCCUUAUUAAUUGUAUCACAUUAAACAGUAAAAGGGUGAUCGGCAACUAUUAAGAAGUUCAAACACAAGACAAGGCUCAUUGAGUUGUUGUAUCGCGAAAAUCGUUGAGAGCUAUAGGGGCUUAUCCGGCACUGGUCCAAUCAUGUUGUGAAAUGGGCAGCUCUCAUCUUUUUAUAUACUUAGGCAGUUUAAUACAGACAUGUUAACUGUACGUUGUUUUGAAAUCUGCAAACAAAAUGCAAGGUAUUUCCAAAAAAAUAUAUUAAACUAAACUACAGCUGUCAACUAUCAAUGUCACCCAAGGUGAAUUUGUUUACUGUAGAAAAGCUCACGGUUCCAUACUUUUUUAUAAACAUCAAAAGCAGAAAUCUAUGACUUUCGUGAAUGCGUUGACAGCAUUUGAGCACUUUCAUGCAUUAUUCUUAUUCAAAACCCAGUCAAAAUCACAAACGGCCAAACGAGGAACUUUUUGCUUUGAAAUUGAGACUACGUUUAGGCACUUUAUAUUAAUCGGGGCUAUAUAAUCGUAAUUAUAUAUUUAAAGAAAGAAGACAAUAAUACUUGAAUUUGCCUAUUUCUUCUCUUCGAACCCAGAUACGACAUUUUCAGAGAAAAAAAUGAAGUAAAGUGGUAGAGGCAAUCCUACAGCAUUAAAAUAAGUGGUUUUAUAAAGCCUUCCACCGAAAGUAUAAAUCAUAACCGUAUUUUCUUGUAUGGCACCAUGAAUACAAUACAGCAUGAAAUACUAAACAAGAUGGAGGAUCUUUCAGUAUGAUGAAACUGUUUGAAUCGUUUGCACCUUUUGGGAUGGCACAAACGAUCAUGAGCCAGAACAUUGCAUCAAGUCGUCACAGAAGCGAAGAAAAGGUGGUUUUUAGUCAUAAGAAACUCCAAGAAAGGACAAAUCCAAUGCAACAACUGUUAUAAACAAGACGUUGCAAGAUAUAUAAAAAUUCUAAAGGGCAAGGAAAAAAAUUUGUACCUGUCCAAACGACCCUUUUCCUAUUAGUGUAUCAAUUUCAUAUCUAUCGAGAAAUUUUUCGCCAUGUCGUAUAACAUAAUCAAAGUUCUCAUCAUCAUAUCCAUCGUUAUACAGUCUGCGUUCCUUUUUAGUCCGGCCCUCUUCUGUUCUUUCCUUUUCUGCUCUUCGUUUCUUUUGUGAGUAGUAGACCUAAGGAGAACAAAAACUCAAAUAAAAGUUUUCUCUUGUAAUACAAACAAACCAAUCCUCCAUGAAAUGGUGCAUGUUUCAAGAUAUGGAGCCAUACUUCCUGCAAACCAAAGAGACAGUGAUGACCAGGCAAGAACACUAGGGAGUUUUUUUAGUGUCCAACACAAGUAUCAAUUUGAGAGGGGGUUGGUUGGGCAAUAAUGUUUUAGUAAGUAACAGAAUGGAUGCCUCACAACAUAUUUUGUUAAUGGCAAAUAAAAUUUAUACUUACCAUAAAUCUCUAAAUGAGAACCCCCUCAAAUUAGUGCCCUGCUUGAAUAAGCAUCCCCCCUAAAAAUGUCAAAUUUAAUGACCAUUUCCAUUCCUUGUUUAUGAAUGUUAAUCCAGAUUCCUUGUUCAAAAUUGCUUGUACAUGGUUUGAUUUAACAUAGGCUAUCAGCAAAAAAUGACAUCUGUUUUUAACCAUAUUUAAGCUGAUCAGUUUAAUUCUAUUGAUUGCAUGAGCUGAGUUAUCUUAAUUUCAUCAGAAACCAUUUAUUGCAGAUGACUUGUGACAACACACCAAAAAUUGGAAGCUGUUGGUAUUUACCAGAAUGAGAGAAAAUGUGCCAGACAGCCUUGAGGUAAGUUUAAAACACUUCUUGUCAUGGCUGACUUGACUUGAGUUCAGAUCACAGCACAAAUGUUUUCUUUUAAAAAGGGGUAAUAAAAAUGUAACCUUAAAAGGACAAUACACAUCAUUCCUGUUGUCUAAUUAGCAAAAGGGGUUAUCCUUCUCACAAAGACCGGCCAUUCAAGAAUUACUUUUCAAUCAUUGAUAACUGAAUUCAAUGGCAUAUCUUGGGCUAAUAAUUUACAGGCACUAGAAGAUAUUUAAAAUACAGGCCCAUUUCAUUGAAAUUGUGUUAGCUGAGAAAUCCAGGGCCAAGAGAUAAAACUACAACAAGAUAAUGUCAAAAUUAAAAAAUCAAGAAAAUUGACAAGAUACAUGGAAAUAAAGAGGAUUUAGUCUGGAUGUUUAUUUUCACAAGAUGCCUAUUUUCACCGACAUUUAUUUGAAGCCUUGAGGAAACUGUUUUCCUUUGGAGUUUGAUAUAGAGAAAAAUCUUCCCAUGAAUAACCAAACUUAUAUGAAAAUAAUCGUUAAAAAAAAUUUAAAAAAAUUUCUUAUAUACAAUAAUAAACAUAGAGUGAGUUGAACAAUAAACAACUAGAUUCAUUUACCUCAUUGAUAUGCUUGUAAGUCUUGAUAAGAUCAACACUAAGUUUUCUGAGCGGUGCUGUUCCGGGCUCACGAAAAGAUGUAGGGAUUUUUCUAACAUAAUAAUCAUAAGCUGAUUCUGGAUUUGAGUCUGGCAUUGUUUGCUCAUUGGUUGCCAUUGCAAACAAUACCAAUAACUUUUAUUAUCUUUGAUUGUUUACAAUCCACAUCAUAAUUCUAGCAAUCCUUCUUCUGAUAAUACCCCUGAAAAAGAAAAAUUCAAGUUACUUGUAAUUUCUUGGAAUUAUAUAUUUGGAAUGGCAACAAAAUAAGUGAUCUUUAGUUUGCUCUUAUUGCAUUGAAAUUAAACUGACAUCAUAUUUCACCGAAAUAGAAAGUAUAUAUGUGAAUUGGGACAAAAGAUCAAUUCAAUUCCUCCAAUCAUUUCAGCUUUUAAAUGUGCUUUUAUCGAUACAGAUAUAAAGAUCAAUGGUUCUAACUGAUAACAAUCUUUUGGUUAAAAGAACAAAAGAAGAUGUACAGAUAUGAUUCUUUGAUGUAAAGUGAAGUAUGAGAGUAAAAAUGAAAUUGUUGUUUUUAAAGUUUCUAAUAAAUCAAAACAGCAUAGUAUUGAGAAUGUCAUUUAAUAAUACAUUUUAACUAUUGAAAAAAACUUGCAAAUGACAGUUGGUGAAAUAAAUGCAGCAACCUAAGCACCAAAACAGGAAAGUGCAUUAUUUCUCAUCAAGGCCUAAGGUAGGAGAAUUGAGGCUUGUGUGUAGAAAAUGAAAGCUGGACAGAGCAGGGCUGUAACUUUCAUUGUUCUUAUGGGCUCAUGCCCUUUAUUAAAAUGAAAAAACCCUUAGUUCCAUCGAACAAUCACUUGUAUUUCUAUUUAUCUUAAAUAAAGAUGUUCUGCCACUAAAUUUAUCCUUCCUACCAUAUAGCUACAGCUACGGCAUUAUUUUCUUUUAAGUGCACUUCUUUGAUUAGACAAGCCGUUGAGAAUCAAGAGCAGCAAGAUCCUAAAAUAGAUUUCACUAGCCAAAAUUUCAGUGAGAGAAAAAGAGACCAAUCUAGGUUGGCUAGUAAAAGCAUGACAAAAAAUACAUUGGAUUCAGAAGAGACUCUUUUCAAUACUGGCAUAGCACCAUGAUACCUUUAUCAAAAUAUUUUCAAAGAACAUGAUCAGUGUGAAAUUGAAAACAUAGCUGUAAUCUUUCGAAAAGUUAUAUAAAUCUGUUUUGUAUCAGAGAUGGUUGGGGCACUAGAGGUUAAAUUUUCUGACAAGAAUCAAAGUCUAACUCUUGAAAAAGGACAUUGACUGUGUUUAUUUCUACAAUUAUUUUAUAGCACAGUGAGAAAAGGUGAGCCCAAGCUAAAGCACAGAUUUAACUUAUUAAGCCAUGCUGUGAAUUCUGGCAUCUCCUGUGGUUGAAUCUAGACUUGUGAUUGCCAAAAUUCCAGACAGGAAAAAUUGUUUUUAACAGUUAAGUUUGCUUUAAAACUAAUGCCUAGAAUUAUGUACACUUAAUAAGUUGCUGCACUGAAAGAAGGAAAAUGGCUGAUAACAUUCAAAUGGUUUAUCAAAUCUGAAGAUUUUGUGUGGCAAUAAGCAACAUUUUGUGGCAUACAUGAAACAAAUAUUAUUCUGUCUGAACAGAAAUUCUUCAUUUUAGAUGAUCAAUUCAAUGACUUUGAAGAUAAAUAAUAUUGAGCUUGCUGUUGGUUUGCGAUCAGCAAAUCUGAUCAUGUGUUUGGAUCUAUAACAUCAAAGCUGAAGUAGCCAGCCACAUCACCACUACAGGAAAUAUUCUGGGCAACAAGAUUUGUACUCAAGAUUCAAAGAUUCCCUAAAAACCUUGAACAAUUUAAGCCAGUGGGUAUAAUUGAAAAGCUCUAAUGAUAAAUAAUAUAAACAAUCGCUGUGGAAAUAUUCUCUGCUAUCAUAACUAGCUAACAAAAGCAUACUGAUAUUCUUAAUCCACGGCCAAACGUACUUGAAAAAAAUAUAAAAGGGUUUCAAGGGAUUUUGUUAAAAAAACAGCUGCCCUCUUUCUGUCAAAAAUUGUAAGAUUAGGUUUCUUCAUCGUAGCCUAACAAACUAAAACAAUACGAUAGAAUCUUUUAGUAUUUUUUGACAUCGACUUUCUAAAUCAAUAUAUUUGAAUUUAGAUCACGGAGUGGAAGUCGAUGGUAUACUUUUUGAGUGAAACGGGAAGAAAUUUGUUGAUCGCAAAUAUUAAAAAUACCGGCAUACAAGAGUGCACAAAAGACAUUUUUACAGUCACUUCUUCGAUCUGAAAUUUGACCCCAUACAUGACUUUCUCACUUGGCGCAUGGCUAGCUAUUUCCGUAUUUUUCAAAUGGGUUAAAUUGUGCCAUUUUGUUUAUUAGCAGACUUCAUCUCCCAUCGGAUAUUUUCAAAAUGGCGCCUAUAUACGACCUUCGUCUCGUAGUACAAAAGAAAAAAUCAAGAUUUCUCACAAUAAGUGUUAAGAUACAUCUUAUGAGAUACUUAUGAGCACAGCCAUUUUAAACGAUUCAAAACAAAAAGUUACUUAAACUGAUUUGAAGAUUUUAUACAACUGGCCGCCAUAAAUAUUCAUUUUGGAUUUCGUUACUGCCCUUCAAGCAGAACCAAAGCGCGGCAAAAACUGUUCAGGUGGGAAGUACUUCGCGGCCUGCGACGUGUGAAAAUUUAGACAUCACAUUUUUGUGUUUACUUUCCUGAAUGAACUCAGGAUCCACUUGAUCUACAUCCACGAUAACAGAUGGCGAGGAAGCCCAAUUUGAUCAAGCAUCACCGCAAAAUAUUGGGAGAGGAAGCUAUACUAAUUUUCUGAUCGUAAAUCCGAGUGUACAUGAAGCAUGGCUCCUUUUGGCCUAAUGCCAGAUCGCGUUUAAUAGCGCCUUUCUAGACGACCUUGACUAGUAACUUACCAAAUCAACCACUUCCCCCAGCUCUGUUAUCCAUCUGCAAGGCACAAAAGGUGGAGGUUUCCUCACUGUUGACUCAGACUUUUAUAUUCACAAGUUCUUUCCUUCUCCAUGGACAAAUUGCGACAACAAAUGUAGUUCCUAUUCGCUCCAGAUCCUCUUUAUUUCUUUAAGCAAAAGAUCCUUUGAACUUUGAGUGAAUUCCAGCUAGAUUGUCAUCGGUAACGCUACCUUUUGGCCUCCAGUAAUUUGUCAACUAUCAGAUCAAAAUAAAGUCAGAAAAAUCCCUUCAAAAUCUUUUUCCUCGAAUAACAAAUUUCAAAAAUAUAAAAAAGUUGCGCGCCAGAAUGCCGAUGACGCGCGCGUUGUUACCAUAGAUCUGUCAAUCAAACUUGAGCUCCGACAGGAGAAUUUGCAUGUUGAUCCAACAAUAGACAAAGCGUUCGGAAUAUGGCGGGACUUUCAAUGUUGUAAACAAAGUGCAACGUGACCUGCCGUUGAAGCACUGGUUACGUAGAAUUUAUAGAACUUACAACAGCAUGAAAAGCUCAACGAAUCUUAUCGUACGCUGGAUAAAACUAUGAACAAAUCUAUGGAAACUGGGGCAAAUAAUGCUGGAAAAGUCAUCUGGCGAGAAGAAACAUGAGUGGGUUGGUAUUGACUUCCCUGGGAAUUAUUGCGCAUGGUACCACAAAAUUUAUAAAAGGUUCGCAAAAGGAUCGUAAAUGUCGUGUUAAGUUUUUAUUUCAUUGUAAGUAAAUGAUCGGUUGCAGAUUUUGAAUUUUGGGGCAAAGAUAGGUAGUGGCGGCUCUAGGGGGCAACUAGGGACAGUUGCUCCUCCCUCGCGAAGUUGAAGCAAGUCUGGCGCCCCUUUUUUGAAAAUUGUGCGCCCUUUUUGAAGUAUGAGAAUCAGGUGAAAUAGUUCCUGAGGCCUAUAAGUUCAUUUACUUCAAGGAUUACUUCAAAGUUAACUUGUUUAUUCCGAAAAUGGAUCAUGUUUCGCUAGAAAUGUCACGCUUUGAAAGACAAUAAACAGACCAGUCAACUAUCCCGAUUACGCCGGAUGAUCCAAGGUUUUGGUUGCUUUCUCCUGGCCUACCGAUUUUUUUACAUUCUUAUAACAAAAAUGGUUGCAGUGGCGUUCUUCAUGACAACAUUUUUGUAAGUGUUUACGAAUUAAUAAAAAAAACUCUAAAAACAAUUAUGAAGAAGAAACUUUUUUGUCAUUAACUGUUUUCCCACAUGACUUUUACAGGUAUGUUGUUUAAAAAUUUAACAUAAUAAUAUUUCUAUCACUUCAUCUUGAUCAACAAAUUCUUGGGAUCUCCCUGUUUUUGGCCAAAGCUCCCUGCUGUAUUACGAAAAAAAUCUAAAUUCUCCAGGUUAUGAAAAUUUUGGGUUGACAUGUCUGCAACAAAGUCUAUCCAUAAAGUUGCAUUCCUUUAUUUCUGCUUUCAUUCAAAGAAACAAUGUUCAAUUUCUUGCCUUUCAAAGUUACCCUACGCUUCUCCGCAAGGUUUUUCAUUUCCGUGCUCGAAAUUUUGUGGCUCUGGCACCCAGGAUAAAGAUACCCAAUCUUAAUGUCAUAAUCAAACCCAAAAGAACUAUGGAGUAUAAUUAAGAUAGAAUAUUUGUCUGUUGUGCCUAGGAUCCUUUGUUUUCAGUCGAUAUUGUAAAUCGACCGUUUCAGACCCAUUUUCCAGCCAUCACUAGAAAAUCAUAGUUGCAAAACUUUUUCUGCCGCUCACCAUAGUGGGCCGCCUUCAUCAAACCGCCUUGAUCUUCACCAAAAAUUUUACCCCAAGGGCAUCGUCUUUCCAUUUUGCCCCAGAGACUCUGAAAUCUCGGCGGCUUUCCAGCCAUAUUUGCCCUUCAAUUCUUAUAAAAUUCUAUAGAUUAGAGGACAUUUUAUAAGCUGAAAUUAUUGUUAUGAGAAGCUCAAAAGAAGCUGUAGUUCAUUGUUGCACCCUAAAAUUUGCUUUUCGCAAAAAGAUGCUCACGAAUUCACCCAAAAACGCGAACUCCAGGAAUAUUAGUUUCCGCAAACUUAAUUUCCUUAUGCUUUUAUGCCAUCAUUUGCUCUUACUAGUUAUCAUUAAGUGUGUAUAUGCUCAUCUAUUUCAUUGUUAAUAAAUUUUCUAUGGAGAAAUAGUCGGUCAAACAAGAAAAGUUGGUCACUUUUUUUCUGAACGCCCCCCCCCCCCAAACAAAAUUGUCUAGGCACAUCACUGUACUCACUUAAUGUAUAGUACAAGGCUGUUAGCAAUUUUUUUCUACCGAGGGAGAGGCUGUGUAAUUUUCGCUGAAAUUUCAGUAUGUUUAUUUCAUUCGAAAUCUAGAGAUGCAAAUUCUGUCCUGCAAAGGGUGAAGGACUUCAAAGGACACUCUUUGCAGGGAAGCAUGGGGAGCCAUAUCUUUGGAAGGAACUAAACCAGCCAUGUUGGAUUGGCUUGGAUUGUUAUUAAGCAUUGGCUGUAAUAGAAAAAACUGAACAAUAAAACUCGAAAUAAAAUAAAAUGGCUUCUAGAUUGAAUUACGUCAGAGUCGUAAGGGAGUACGCACACACCCAAAUUGUCGAAGGAAUAUUGUGUACAUUUUCACAAUAUUCAUUGUAUUUUUUGGAAGGUAAGAUUGAAGGGAGAAAAAUCCUGUGCUCAAGACUACAAGGCUAAGGGGCAGGGACGCCAAAACGACCAAGGGGCAAGGGGGACAGGCUUGAGUAAAAGGGCAUUUGAGAGAUAACUCCCAGCUUCUAGUAAUUCCUUCUCCUAACUGCCAUUUUAUUUUGAUCUUCUGCAGGUAUCUUGAAAAUUACCUUGAGUACCAGACUCACUUUUUAUCAAAUAAGAGAGAGUCUGUUUCAGUACGCCCCUCUCCUCAUUCUGGUGUGCCGAUAUUAACCAAUCAGGAGCAAGUGUAUAGAUUUCUGUACGUUCGAAGGUCACAUCCAAACAAUAAACGUAGCUUUGGUGUAAAACGUUGAACAGAACACAACAUAAAUUAAUGCUGACGACAGUAACGAUUUAGUUUGAUAUGGGGUGAUAUCUAUGCAGGGGCUGAUUUAAACAACAAUGUGUUAGACACUAAUUUUGGUGCCACACCCUUCAGGUCACUGGUAAAUGAUGGAAAUGCCCAUAUUUAAAAUUUGAUCUUUAACUGUGAUUGGUAGGCCAAAGAGGAAGAUAUUUUUGCUGAUCACUCCACUAAGAGUUUGGAAAAACACCCAUUUUGUAAAUGUGUUUGAAAAAGCCAUGGCGUUUUUAAGUGGCAAUUUCCUUUUAUUCAACGUCAUAGGUGGCUGACCAUACUCUACAACUUGUCUAUUUCCUUCACAAUUCCACUAACGUUUAUAUCCUGAAUUGUGUAAGGCGAGGAAUCUCUACGUGUAAAAAGUGAUUUUCCAAAGUUUUAAUCAAAUAUCUAAAUAAAUUAACAGUAUUCAAAAGUUUUAAACCAAGUCCGUUUUCCUUGGAGCAAAGCAUUUUAGAAUCCAGUUUUUACAAGGAUUGGACUGCUUUAGCAUUUUAUUUUUUAUUUUAUCAGGAAUGUCUAAAGAGCGUAAAAGACUUUUCCAUACAAAUCCCAAAACGAGGGGAUAUUACUAAACACAGAGGCUCUCCUGCGGGGGAAGCGAGCAGAAAAUCUUUGCGACGACGCCCUUGAGAUUAGCUUGAAAUACAUUUGGGAAUAUCUCCCCCCCCCCACCCCCGCUACGCUACUGAUAAGAAGAUAAAUACUGAUAAAUUACUGAUUAAAUCCGUCCCUGAAUUUAGCUGAUGUGGUGCCUCAUCUCGUGAUUUUCUGGAUCCCCUUUUAAAAUCUUACCCACUCAGUAGCGACGCCAUGUAAUAGGAAUAUUCUCCUUUUCAGUAUUAGCCUCUUUAUCGUGUUUAUCACGCACUCAACUUUAGGAUAUAUAUUGUUGCACGUAGUCAAUUUGUGGACUUUUGAUUUUGAUGAUGAGGCAGAAAACAUAAACGAAGUUCUUUUCUCUUCUUCACACUUCUUCGAUAAAGAUCCUGCUA
This is a non-coding RNA of Rhopilema esculentum, 13387 nucleotides long. The record is from RefSeq and is a predicted model, not a curated record. Lineage: Eukaryota; Metazoa; Cnidaria; Scyphozoa; Rhizostomeae; Rhizostomatidae.